RNAcentral lists this long non-coding RNA (2119 nucleotides) under Pan troglodytes (chimpanzee). RNAcentral's name for it is "long non-coding RNA NONPTRT005553". The record is from RNAcentral. Lineage: Eukaryota; Metazoa; Chordata; Mammalia; Primates; Hominidae.
UUCUCAUUAGGGAGUUCUGGGAAAUCGUUCAUUCAUUUACAGAUGAACAGAAAAGACUCUUCUUGCAGUUUACAACGGGCACAGACAGAGCACCUGUGGGAGGACUAGGAAAAUUAAAGAUGAUUAUAGCCAAAAAUGGCCCAGACACAGAAAGGUUACCUACAUCUCAUACUUGCUUUAAUGUGCUUUUACUUCCGGAAUACUCAAGCAAAGAAAAACUUAAAGAGAGAUUGUUGAAGGCCAUCACGUAUGCCAAAGGAUUUGGCAUGCUGUAAAACAAAACAAAACAAAACAAAAAAAGGAAGAAAAAAAAAGAAAAAAAUUUAAAAAAUUUUAAAAAUAUAACGAGGGAUAAAUGUUUGGUGGUGAUAGUGUCCCAGUACAAAAAGGCUGUAAGAUAGUCAACCACAGUAGUCACCUAUGUCUGUGCCUCCCUUCUUUAUUGGGGACAUGUGGGCUGGAACAGCAGAUUUCAGCUACAUAUAUGAACAAAUCCUUUAUUAUUAUUAUAAUUAUUUUUUUGCGUGAAAGUGUUACAUAUUCUUUCACUUGUAUGUACAGAGAGGUUUUUCUGAAUAUUUAUUUUAAGGGUUAAAUCACUUUUGCUUGCGUUUAUUACUGCUUGAGGUUGAGCCUUUUGAGUAUUUAAAAAUAUACCAACAGAACUACUCUCCCAAGGAAAAUAUUGCCACCAUUUGUAGACCACGUAACCUUCAAGUAUGUGCUACUUUUUUGUCCCUGUAUCUAACUCAAAUCAGGAACUGUAUUUUUUUUAAUGAUUUGCUUUUGAAACUUGAAGUCUUGAAAACAGUGUGAUGCAAUUACUGCUGUUCUAGCCCCCAAAGAAGAGUUUUCUGUGCAAAAUCUUGAGAAUCAAUAAAGAAAGAUGGAAGGGAGAAAUUGGAAUGUUUUAACUGCAGCCCUCAGAACUUUAGUAACAGCACAACAAAUUAAAAACAAACAACUCAUGCCACAGUAUGUCGUCUUCAUGUGUCUUGCAAUGAACUGUUUCAGUAGCCAAUCCUCUUUCUUAGUAUAUGAAAGGACAGGGAUUUUUGUUCUUGUUGUUCUUGUUGUUGUUUUAAGUUUACUGGGGAAAGUGCAUUUGGCCAAAUGAAAUGGUAGUCAAGCCUAUUGCAACAAAGUUAGGAAGCUUGUUGUUUGUUUAUUAUAAACAAAAAGCAUGUGAAAGUGCACUUAAGAUAGAGUUUUUAUUAAUUACUUACUUAUUACCUAGAUUUUAAAUAGACAAUCCAAAGUCUCCCCUUCGUGUUGCCAUCAUCUUGUUGAAUCAGCCAUUUUAUCGAGGCACGUGAUCAGUGUUGCAACAUAAUGAAAAAGAUGGCUACUGUGCCUUGUGUUACUUAAUCAUACAGUAAGCUGACCUGGAAAUGAAUGAAACUAUUACUCCUAAGAAUUACAUUGUAUAGCCCCACAGGUUAAAUUUAAUUAAUUAAUUAAUUCAAAACAUGUUAAACGUUACUUUCAUGUACUAUGGAAAAGUACAAGUAGGUUUACAUUACUGAUUUCCAGAAGUAAGUAGUUUCCCCUUUCCUAGUCUUCUGUGUAUGUGAUGUUGUUAAUUACUUUCUUUUAUUGCAUUAUGAAAUAAAAGGAUUAUGUAUUUUUAACUAAGGUGAGACAUUGAUAUAUCCUUUUGCUACAAGCUAUAGCUAAUGUGCUGAGCUUGUGCCUUGGUGAUUGAUUGAUUGAUUGUUUUAACUGAUUACUGUAGAUCAACCUGAUGAUUUGUUUGUUUGAAAUUGGCAGGAAAAAUGCAGCUUUCAAAUCAUUGGGGGGCGAAAAAGGAUGUCUUUCAGGAUUAUUUUAAUUAAUUUUUUUCAUAAUUGAGACAGAACUGUUUGUUAUGUACCAUAAUGCUAAAUAAAACUGUGGCACUUUUCACCAUAAUUUAAUUUAGUGGAAAAAGAAGACAAUGCUUUCCAUAUUGUGAUAAGGUAACAUGGGGUUUUUCUGGGCCAGCCUUUAGAACACUGUUAGGGUACAUACGCUACCUUGAUGAAAGGGACCUUCGUGCAACUGUAGUCAUCUUAAAGGCUUCUCAUCCACUGUGCUUCUUAAUGUGUAAUUAAAGUGAGGAGAAAUUAAAUACUCUGAG